Long non-coding RNA from Octopus sinensis (East Asian common octopus), 374 nucleotides. RefSeq lists it as uncharacterized. Lineage: Eukaryota; Metazoa; Mollusca; Cephalopoda; Octopoda; Octopodidae. The transcript has 3 exons. The record is from RefSeq and is a predicted model, not a curated record.
CUGUCUAUCUGUCCUUUUAUGAAUACACACACACACAUCAUCAUCAUCAUCAUCAUCAUCAUCAUCAUCAUCAUUUAACGUCUGUGUUCCAUGCUAGCAUAGGUGGGAUGCUACAAGAGCUGGUCAUGCCAAAGUCUGCACCAGAUUUGUGACUGUUAUGGUAGGAUUUUUACAGCUGGAUGCGUUUCUGAAUGCCAACCACUUUACAGUGUGGACUGGAUGCUUUUAAGUGGCAACUGCACUGACAGGGUCACCAAGUACAUGCAAGACAAAAACUUUUAAGAAGGGAGGAAGCAUUGGAGGAGGUGAUGAUGAAAAGGUUAUAGUAAGACAGAUAUAGGUGUUUUGCUGAAGAGGAAGCAUUGGAGAAGGUG